AGGCUGGGGAACAAAUGAUUUCCCACUGUAGGCAUACUUCGAAAUAAAAGAAAAUCAAUUGUCUUAGCUUUUUCCUUUGAAAACUGUCACGAUCCUUGGUCUCCUAAGGUUGGGCCCCCAAAAAAAUCAAAAAAUGAGUGACCAAAACAUCCUUAGGGCUCGCGAGACUUUCGCGACAAUUUUGAGUUAUUACGAGAAUCGUAGCAACAGCAGCAGUGAUUAUUCGACAAGUCUCCCUCCCCCGGACUGGGCCAGGAGCGCCAGGAGCUCCGAGUACGGGAAUAUCAUUAUCGGCUAUAUCCAGCCACGACCUCCCACCGCCGAACAAGCAGCACAGGCACAGCAAUGUCUAAGUGAUCUAUUGCGGUCGCAAGAAACAAGGAACAGCUUGUCACCAACUGAGAGACAGCUGUUUACGGCAGCUGUUAAUGAGCCUAAUAGUCUGUUGAACCGACGUCCGCCAAAUUCAGCUCCAUCAAGUACACUUCAGUUAGUUAACUGCACUUGUAUUGAGUCCACGACCAUCAAAUCAGCCUCCGUCGAGUACAUAUCAGUCGACUGCAUUUCCAUCAAGCCCACAUCCACCAAAUCUGCCGCCAUGCAAUACAGAUCCAUCGAGCC
This 621-nucleotide small RNA is filed under the name Histoplasma ohiense. Its description in RNAcentral is "hypothetical lncRNA". Lineage: Eukaryota; Fungi; Ascomycota; Eurotiomycetes; Onygenales; Ajellomycetaceae. The record is from RNAcentral.